This is a long non-coding RNA of Neogale vison (American mink), 1532 nucleotides long. RefSeq lists it as uncharacterized. The transcript is spliced from 3 exons. The record is from RefSeq and is a predicted model, not a curated record. Lineage: Eukaryota; Metazoa; Chordata; Mammalia; Carnivora; Mustelidae.
AGCUGCCGUGCUAUGAAAAGCCGAGACCCCAUGAAGAGGCCAUGUGUAGCUGCCUCAGCCGAACUUCCAGCUGAUAGCCAAUGUCCACUGCCAGCUACAUGAGGGAGCCAUUUUGGACUUCCAGCCCAUCUAGUCUUCAGAUGACUCUAGCCCCAGCUGACAUCCAACUGUGACAUGAGACCCCACACAGAACCACCUGGCUGAGCCCAGCCAGCUCACAGGUCUAUGGAAGCCCCGGGAGGUCAUGUGACACAGUUCUGGCCAACGAGAUGCAAGUGCACAAGGGAGUCUUUGUUGGGACAGACGAGCUGCCUGCCUCCUCCUUCCUGCCUUGCAUGGAAAUGCUACACUUGGAGCAGCUGCCACCAUCUUGCAACCCUGAAGUGAAAGGCAGCGAAGCCGGGAUGCCAGUCCAGAGACUGGAAGGAAGGGUAUCCGGGAAACUAAAUCCAACAUGUGUGAUGUCUACAGCUACUGAAAUAAGUUUCAAUCCAAUGCGAUCUGUCCAUCCAUCCAUCUGUCGGUCAAUGAUAUUCCCACUCAACAAGAAUUCACUGAACACACCAGCCAUGUUUCCAGUUCCUGCUAGGCACUACUGAGAGAUGUAAAAAACUGAGUGGCAGCUCCCACCCUCCCAAAGCUCACAUAAUGUACUUCAUGGCUAGAGAAAAGAAACUCUUUGCAACUCCCCAACCUGGCCUUCUAAGAUCCCCACGAAUUCCCUCUGGGUAGAAAGGAGCAAAAUGUCACUUUGUUAUAACUAUAGAGAGAGCUCAGGGUUGAGACCUGAUCACCUGUGCUUUCUCUAAACAGUUUUGGUUUCCCAAAGCUUUAAGGAAAUAAUACUAUUAUACUAAUGCCUACGUAGUCAGCCUAAAUAUCUCCCGGGAUGCCAUAGUUUUGACUUAGCCAAACAUUUACUGAGCACCUACUAUGUGCAGAAGUCAUGCUGUGGGGACAAAUAUCUAAGGACUUGUCCCUAAUAAAAAGGAACUUGUGAAGGGAGAUAAAAUAUGUAAAAUAUGGCCGAGUGCUGAAAGACACAGCACCAUGGGUUAUAGGAGUUCAGAGGAGGCAAACAUUCUGCUGAGAAAGUUUCCUGGAGGUGGUGGCAUGACAAUUUUGUGCAGAAGGAUGGGUAGCGUUGAGCCAGGGAAGCAGAGAGGGAUGGAGUGAAAGUCAUUCUUGACAGAAUGGAGCCCAGUGGCCCAACACUGGGACCAUCAGUAAUAAACCCAGGGUAGAGUCAUGGUGCCAAGACCUGGGCUUGAAUCCUCACUCUACUCUUUGGGUAGUAAGAGUAAAGUAAGAGUAAACUUGUAAAGGCUAAAAAACAGUACAAUCUAAAACAUUACCAGCAUUUUCAUCCUGUUUUCCUGAAAAGGCUAUGGAUUUUGGAGCUGGUUUCAGAUGAGAAGAUGGGCAGGUAUGCAUUAAAGUGGAAAUGAAACCAUGACAUAUUUUUUUAAAGGCAAGACAAAGGGGAUAAAAUGGAGGCAUGUGAUAUGAAGCCUGGGGACCUUCGGUCAGGC